AUGCCCACAGAGUCCAAAACCAGCCCCAGUGUGUUCCCGCUGAGCCUCUGCCACCAGGAGUCAGAAGGGUACGUGGUCAUCGGCUGCCUGGUGCAGGGAUUCUUCCCACCGGAGCCUGUGAAUGUGACCUGGAAUGCCGGCAAGGACAGCACAUCUGUCAAGAACUUCCCCCCCAUGAAGGCUGCUACUGGAAGCCUAUACACCAUGAGCAGCCAGUUGACCCUGCCAGCCGCCCAGUGCCCUGAUGACUCGUCUGUGAAAUGCCAAGUGCAGCAUGCUUCCAGCCCCAGCAAGGCAGUGUCUGUGCCCUGCAAAGGCUCCAAUGCCAGCCUCACAUGCACACUGAGUGGCCUGAAAGACCCCAAGGGUGCCACCUUCACCUGGAACCCCUCCAAAGGGAAGGAACCCAUCCAGAAGAAUCCUGAGCGUGACUCCUGUGGCUGCUACAGUGUGUCCAGUGUCCUACCAGGCUGUGCUGAUCCAUGGAACCAUGGGGACACCUUCUCCUGCACAGCCACCCACCCUGAAUCCAAGAGCCCGAUCACUGUCAGCAUCACCAAAACCACAGAGCACAUCCCGCCCCAGGUCCACCUGCUGCCGCCGCCGUCGGAAGAGCUGGCCCUCAAUGAGCUGGUGACACUGACGUGCUUGGUGAGGGGCUUCAAACCAAAAGAUGUGCUCGUACGAUGGCUGCAAGGGACCCAGGAGCUACCCCAAGAGAAGUACUUGACCUGGGAGCCCCUGAAGGAGCCUGACCAGACCAACAUGUUUGCCGUGACCAGCAUGCUGAGGGUGACAGCCGAAGACUGGAAGCAGGGGGAGAAGUUCUCCUGCAUGGUGGGCCACGAGGCUCUGCCCAUGUCCUUCACCCAGAAGACCAUCGACCGCCUGGCGGGUAAACCCACCCACGUCAACGUGUCUGUGGUCAUGGCAGAGGUGGACGGCAUCUGCUACUAA
This is a non-coding RNA of Canis lupus familiaris (dog), 957 nucleotides long. The record is from the annotation of a RefSeq genome assembly. NCBI's taxonomy places the organism in Eukaryota, Metazoa, Chordata, Mammalia, Carnivora, Canidae.